RNAcentral lists this ribosomal RNA (460 nucleotides) under uncultured bacterium. RNAcentral's name for it is "partial 16S ribosomal RNA". It matches the Rfam family "Bacterial small subunit ribosomal RNA", at positions 338 to 795 of the family's 1533-position model. The record is from RNAcentral.
CCUACGGGAGGCAGCAGUGAGGAAUAUUUGUCAAUGGACGAGAGUCUGAACCUGCCAAGUAGCGUGAAGGAUGACUGCCCUAUGGGUUGUAAACUUCUUUUAUAUGGGAAUAAAACGUUCCACGUGUGGGAUUUUGUAUGUACCAUAUUAAUAAGGAUCGGCUAACUCCGUUCCAGCAGCCGCGGUAAUACGGAGGAUCCGAGCGUUAUCCGGAUUUAUUGGGUUUAAGGGGCGCGUAGGUGGAGUGUUAAGUCAGUUGUGAAAGUUUGCGGCUCAACCGUAAAAUUGCAGUUGAAACUGGCAGUCUAGAGUAAAGUAGAGGUGGGCGGAAUUCGUGGUGUAGCAGUGAAAUGCUUAGAUAUCACGAAGAACUCCGAGUGCGAAGGCAGGUCACUGGACUGCAACUGACACUGAGGCUCGAAAGUGUGGGUAUCAAACAGGAUUAGAUACCCUUGUAGUC